RNAcentral lists this ribosomal RNA (612 nucleotides) under uncultured Pseudomonadota bacterium. Its description in RNAcentral is "bacterial SSU rRNA". It matches the Rfam family "Bacterial small subunit ribosomal RNA", at positions 64 to 665 of the family's 1533-position model. The record is from RNAcentral. Lineage: Bacteria; Pseudomonadati; Pseudomonadota.
GAACGGUAACAGGAAGAAGCUUGCUUCUUUGCUGACGAGUGGCGGACGGGUGAGUAAUGUCUGGGAAACUGCCUGAUGGAGGGGGAUAACUACUGGAAACGGUAGCUAAUACCGCAUAACGUCGCAAGACCAAAGAGGGGGACCUUCGGGCCUCUUGCCAUCGGAUGUGCCCAGAUGGGAUUAGCUAGUAGGUGGGGUAACGGCUCACCUAGGCGACGAUCCCUAGCUGGUCUGAGAGGAUGACCAGCCACACUGGAACUGAGACACGGUCCAGACUCCUACGGGAGGCAGCAGUGGGGAAUAUUGCACAAUGGGCGCAAGCCUGAUGCAGCCAUGCCGCGUGUAUGAAGAAGGCCUUCGGGUUGUAAAGUACUUUCAGCGGGGAGGAAGGGAGUAAAGUUAAUACCUUUGCUCAUUGACGUUACCCGCAGAAGAAGCACCGGCUAACUCCGUGCCAGCAGCCGCGGUAAUACGGAGGGUGCAAGCGUUAAUCGGAAUUACUGGGCGUAAAGCGCACGCAGGCGGUUUGUUAAGUCAGAUGUGAAAUCCCCGGGCUCAACCUGGGAACUGCAUCUGAUACUGGCAAGCUUGAGUCUCGUAGAGGGGGGUAGA